AAUUAUGCAUGGAAAAGAAGAGUACUAUUUGCAAGAGUUUUAGAGAGUCUCUGGCUGGUGAAAAGAGAUAUUCGAGCGGAUAGGAAGAUGGUCUUUUGGCAUCAGUCGCUGAGGGGAAUUCCUAAGGUGCUGCGGGUUCGCCCGAUAUCGCGACGAGGCUAUCGAAGUCAUUUCCGUAGCUGAGAGGCUUGUUUAUACAAGUAAAAAAAGGUGGUACCACGAUCACAGGUUGUAAUCGUCCUUGGU
Molecule: non-coding RNA, 246 nt
Filed under: Enterococcus pallens
Lineage: Bacteria; Bacillati; Bacillota; Bacilli; Lactobacillales; Enterococcaceae
Description: T-box sequence
Rfam family: T-box leader
About the family: Uncharged tRNA acts as the effector for transcription antitermination of genes in the T-box leader family. T-boxes are found upstream of many aminoacyl-tRNA synthetase genes and some amino acid biosynthetic genes usually in Gram-positive bacteria. The anticodon of a specific tRNA base pairs to a specifier sequence within the T-box motif, and the NCCA acceptor tail of the tRNA base pairs to a conserved bulge in the T-box antiterminator hairpin.
Source: RNAcentral